This 327-nucleotide ribosomal RNA is filed under the name uncultured eukaryote. Its description in RNAcentral is "partial 18S ribosomal RNA". It matches the Rfam family "Eukaryotic small subunit ribosomal RNA", at positions 1470 to 1796 of the family's 1831-position model. The record is from RNAcentral.
CCCUUAGAUGUUCUGGGCCGCACGCGCGCUACACUGAUGCAUUCAACGAGUCUAAAACCUGCUCUGAUAGGGGUGGGUAAUCUUUUGAAUGUGCAUCGUGAUUGGGAUAGAUGAUUGCAAUUUUUCAUCUUCAACGAGGAAUGCCUAGUAAACGCAAGUCAACAGCUUGCAAUGAUUACGUCCCUGCCCUUUGUACACACCGCCCGUCGCUACUACUGAUUGGAUGGUUAAGCAAGAACUUCAAAUACUUGCAGUUUUGACUUCGGUUGAGACAGCGAGUUGAAGAAGAUCGAGCUUAUUUGUCUAGAGGAAGUAAAAGUCGUAACA